ACCAGGGUGGCUCAGUUGGUUAAGCAUCUGACUUUGGCUCAGGUCAUGAUUUCUCAUUCUUGGGUUUGAGCCCCGUUCCAGGUU
Molecule: transfer RNA, 84 nt
Filed under: Felis catus (domestic cat)
Lineage: Eukaryota; Metazoa; Chordata; Mammalia; Carnivora; Felidae
Rfam family: tRNA
About the family: Transfer RNA (tRNA) molecules are approximately 80 nucleotides in length. Their secondary structure includes four short double-helical elements and three loops (D, anti-codon, and T loops). Further hydrogen bonds mediate the characteristic L-shaped molecular structure. tRNAs have two regions of fundamental functional importance: the anti-codon, which is responsible for specific mRNA codon recognition, and the 3' end, to which the tRNAs corresponding amino acid is attached (by aminoacyl-tRNA synthetases). tRNAs cope with the degeneracy of the genetic code in two manners: having more than one tRNA (with a specific anti-codon) for a particular amino acid; and 'wobble' base-pairing, i.e. permitting non-standard base-pairing at the 3rd anti-codon position.
Source: Rfam by way of RNAcentral